RNAcentral lists this ribosomal RNA (405 nucleotides) under alpha proteobacterium BAL127. RNAcentral's name for it is "bacterial SSU rRNA". It matches the Rfam family "Bacterial small subunit ribosomal RNA", at positions 39 to 490 of the family's 1533-position model. The record is from RNAcentral. Lineage: Bacteria; Pseudomonadati; Pseudomonadota; Alphaproteobacteria.
GCGGCAGGCUUAACACAUGCAAGUCGAGCGGACCUUUCGGGGUCAGCGGCGGACGGGUGAGUAACGCGUGGGAACGUGCCUUCCGGUUCGGAAUAACCCUGGGAAACUAGGGCUAAUACCGGAUACGCCCUUAUGGGGAAAGGUUUACUGCCGGAAGAUCGGCCCGCGUCUGAUUAGCUAGUUGGUGGGGUAACGGCCUACCAAGGCGACGAUCAGUAGCUGGUCUGAGAGGAUGAUCAGCCACACUGGGACUGAGACACGGCCCAGACUCCUACGGGAGGCAGCAGUGGGGAAUAUUGGACAAUGGGCGCAAGCCUGAUCCAGCCAUGCCGCGUGAGUGAUGAAGGCCUUAGGGUUGUAAAGCUCUUUUAUCCGGGACGAUAAUGACGGUACCGGAGGAAUAAG